RNAcentral lists this ribosomal RNA (468 nucleotides) under uncultured bacterium. RNAcentral describes it as "partial 16S ribosomal RNA". It matches the Rfam family "Bacterial small subunit ribosomal RNA", at positions 28 to 507 of the family's 1533-position model. The record is from RNAcentral.
GACGAACGCUGGCGGCGUGCUUAACACAUGCAAGUCGAACGGAAAGGCCCUGCUUUUGUUGGUUGCUCGAGUGGCGAACGGGUGAGUAACACGCGAGUAACCUGCCCUUGACUUUGGGAUAACUUCAGGGAACUGGGGCUAAUACCGGAUAGGAGCUCCUGCUGCAUGGUGGGGGUUGGAAAGUUUCGGCGGUUGGGGAUGGACUCGCGGCUUAUCAGCUUGUUGGUGGGGUAGUGGCUUACCAAGGCUUUGACGGGUAGCCGGCCUGAGAGGGUGACCGGCCACAUUGGGACUGAGAUACGGCCCAGACUCCUACGGGAGGCAGAAGUGGGGUAUAUUGCACAAUGGGCGGAAGCCUGAUGCAGCAACGCCGCGUGCGGGAUGACGGCCUUCGGGUUGUAAACCGCUUUCGCCUGUGACGAAGCGUGAGUGACGGUAAUGGGUAAAGAAGCACCGGCUAACUACGUG